RNAcentral lists this ribosomal RNA (1381 nucleotides) under Lactiplantibacillus plantarum. RNAcentral describes it as "bacterial SSU rRNA". It matches the Rfam family "Bacterial small subunit ribosomal RNA", at positions 69 to 1429 of the family's 1533-position model. The record is from RNAcentral. Lineage: Bacteria; Bacillati; Bacillota; Bacilli; Lactobacillales; Lactobacillaceae.
AUUGGUGCUUGCAUCAUGAUUUACAUUUGAGUGAGUGGCGAACUGGUGAGUAACACGUGGGAAACCUGCCCAGAAGCGGGGGAUAACACCUGGAAACAGAUGCUAAUACCGCAUAACAACUUGGACCGCAUGGUCCGAGCUUGAAAGAUGGCUUCGGCUAUCACUUUUGGAUGGUCCCGCGGCGUAUUAGCUAGAUGGUGGGGUAACGGCUCACCAUGGCAAUGAUACGUAGCCGACCUGAGAGGGUAAUCGGCCACAUUGGGACUGAGACACGGCCCAAACUCCUACGGGAGGCAGCAGUAGGGAAUCUUCCACAAUGGACGAAAGUCUGAUGGAGCAACGCCGCGUGAGUGAAGAAGGGUUUCGGCUCGUAAAACUCUGUUGUUAAAGAAGAACAUAUCUGAGAGUAACUGUUCAGGUAUUGACGGUAUUUAACCAGAAAGCCACGGCUAACUACGUGCCAGCAGCCGCGGUAAUACGUAGGUGGCAAGCGUUGUCCGGAUUUAUUGGGCGUAAAGCGAGCGCAGGCGGUUUUUUAAGUCUGAUGUGAAAGCCUUCGGCUCAACCGAAGAAGUGCAUCGGAAACUGGGAAACUUGAGUGCAGAAGAGGACAGUGGAACUCCAUGUGUAGCGGUGAAAUGCGUAGAUAUAUGGAAGAACACCAGUGGCGAAGGCGGCUGUCUGGUCUGUAACUGACGCUGAGGCUCGAAAGUAUGGGUAGCAAACAGGAUUAGAUACCCUGGUAGUCCAUACCGUAAACGAUGAAUGCUAAGUGUUGGAGGGUUUCCGCCCUUCAGUGCUGCAGCUAACGCAUUAAGCAUUCCGCCUGGGGAGUACGGCCGCAAGGCUGAAACUCAAAGGAAUUGACGGGGGCCCGCACAAGCGGUGGAGCAUGUGGUUUAAUUCGAAGCUACGCGAAGAACCUUACCAGGUCUUGACAUACUAUGCAAAUCUAAGAGAUUAGACGUUCCCUUCGGGGACAUGGAUACAGGUGGUGCAUGGUUGUCGUCAGCUCGUGUCGUGAGAUGUUGGGUUAAGUCCCGCAACGAGCGCAACCCUUAUUAUCAGUUGCCAGCAUUAAGUUGGGCACUCUGGUGAGACUGCCGGUGACAAACCGGAGGAAGGUGGGGAUGACGUCAAAUCAUCAUGCCCCUUAUGACCUGGGCUACACACGUGCUACAAUGGAUGGUACAACGAGUUGCGAACUCGCGAGAGUAAGCUAAUCUCUUAAAGCCAUUCUCAGUUCGGAUUGUAGGCUGCAACUCGCCUACAUGAAGUCGGAAUCGCUAGUAAUCGCGGAUCAGCAUGCCGCGGUGAAUACGUUCCCGGGCCUUGUACACACCGCCCGUCACACCAUGAGAGUUUGUAACACCCAAAGUCG